AAUCAUCAAAAACCUUUUUUCCCUUUGAACCUUUUUGGUCAGGGAAAAGGAUUUUUGGACUUGGAGGUCCCAUGCUUGCUUUCACCUUUGAAAGCGAGCUCCUCUCAAAUGAAUUAGUGGGGUCUGCUUUGCUGAUCCUUGACGUGAUAAGAUGUUUCUACGUUUUGGAUUUAGCACUGUCCAUUGGACACCUGCUCCUAAUCGUCCCUUGGGACGUUGAUGGUGCUUCGGUCACCGCCAUCUACGUUGGUGGAAGGCUGAGCCCACACAAAAC
RNAcentral lists this unclassified non-coding RNA (274 nucleotides) under uncultured Russula. Its description in RNAcentral is "sequence contains ITS2". The record is from RNAcentral. Lineage: Eukaryota; Fungi; Basidiomycota; Agaricomycetes; Russulales; Russulaceae.